UGGGGAAUAUUGCACAAUGGAGGGAACUCUGAUGCAGCGACGCCGCGUGAACGAAGAAGGCUUUCGAGUCGUAAGGUUCUUUUAUAUGGGAAGAUAAUGACGGUACCAUAAGAAGAAGCCCCGGCUAACUACGUGCCAGCAGCCGCGGUAAUACGUAGGGGGCUAGCGUUGUCCGGAAUCACUGGGCGUAAAGGGUUCGCAGGCGGAAAUGCAAGUCAGGUGUAAAAGGCAGUAGCUUAACUACUGUAAGCAUUUGAAACUGCAUAUCUUGAGAAGAGUAGAGGUAAGUGGAAUUUUUAGUGUAGCGGUGAAAUGCGUAGAUAUUAAAAAGAAUACCGGGGGCGAAGGCGACUUACUGGGCUCAUUCUGACGCUGAGGAACGAAAGCGUGGGUAGCAAACAGG
This 403-nucleotide ribosomal RNA is filed under the name bacterium. RNAcentral describes it as "partial 16S ribosomal RNA". It matches the Rfam family "Bacterial small subunit ribosomal RNA", at positions 355 to 776 of the family's 1533-position model. The record is from RNAcentral.